This 525-nucleotide ribosomal RNA is filed under the name uncultured bacterium. RNAcentral's name for it is "partial 16S ribosomal RNA". It matches the Rfam family "Bacterial small subunit ribosomal RNA", at positions 355 to 874 of the family's 1533-position model. The record is from RNAcentral.
UGGGGAAUUUUGGACAAUGGGCGCAAGCCUGAUCCAGCAAUGCCGCGUGCAGGAUGAAGGCCUUCGGGUUGUAAACUGCUUUUGUACGGAACGAAAAGCCUCUCUCUAAUACAGGGGGUGAUGACGGUACCGUAAGAAUAAGCACCGGCUAACUACGUGCCAGCAGCCGCGGUAAUACGUAGGGUGCAAGCGUUAAUCGGAAUUACUGGGCGUAAAGCGUGCGCAGGCGGUUUUGUAAGACAGUGGUGAAAUCCCCGGGCUCAACCUGGGAACUGCCAUUGUGACUGCAAGGCUGGAGUGCGGCAGAGGGGGAUGGAAUUCCGCGUGUAGCAGUGAAAUGCGUAGAUAUGCGGAGGAACACCGAUGGCGAAGGCAAUCCCCUGGGCCUGCACUGACGCUCAUGCACGAAAGCGUGGGGAGCAAACAGGAUUAGAUACCCUGGUAGUCCACGCCCUAAACGAUGUCAACUGGUUGUUGGGGAUUUAUUUCUUCAGUAACGAAGCUAACGCGUGAAGUUGACCGCCU